UCUUUGGUAGCUCAGUGGUAAAGAAUCUGCCUGCAAUGUAGGAGAUCCAGGUUCGAUCCCUGGUCAGGUAG
Molecule: transfer RNA, 71 nt
Filed under: Bos indicus x Bos taurus (hybrid cattle)
Lineage: Eukaryota; Metazoa; Chordata; Mammalia; Artiodactyla; Bovidae
Rfam family: tRNA
About the family: Transfer RNA (tRNA) molecules are approximately 80 nucleotides in length. Their secondary structure includes four short double-helical elements and three loops (D, anti-codon, and T loops). Further hydrogen bonds mediate the characteristic L-shaped molecular structure. tRNAs have two regions of fundamental functional importance: the anti-codon, which is responsible for specific mRNA codon recognition, and the 3' end, to which the tRNAs corresponding amino acid is attached (by aminoacyl-tRNA synthetases). tRNAs cope with the degeneracy of the genetic code in two manners: having more than one tRNA (with a specific anti-codon) for a particular amino acid; and 'wobble' base-pairing, i.e. permitting non-standard base-pairing at the 3rd anti-codon position.
Source: Rfam by way of RNAcentral